CUUCGAUGCUUGACUGCUGGUGUCAGCCUAAAAUGAUAGGUCAUUUUCUUAAACUUUCUGCCUGUCCGCUCUUCUCAUUCUCACCAGCACCAGACAAGUGGUACCCAGGAGAGAGCUGAAGUCAGAGUUUCAGAGAAGGCUGGGCUGCAGACCAUAUAAAUAUUGCAUCAGCUCAAUUCAGUAAGAGGCUGCUGAGCUGAAUCACAUCACCAGUAAUGCAAAAAGUACCACACCACAUCAAAUCAGGUGUUGUGGUUUUGCAAGCAAACACAUCAGCCAACAAACAUCAGGGACUGUGCACAGCUGGGCUCACCCAGCCUGCUCAGCUCAGUGCCUUGGUGCAGCAUGGAGCAGUGCUGGAUGGAGCUUGGAGCCUCUGGCUGACCAUAGUGCUCAGGAAUUACUGCAGACAGCAAAAGCUGUGGUGCUCAAUCCACAUCUUCCUUAUGUCACUGCAGUACCAAACAAC
Molecule: long non-coding RNA, 469 nt
Filed under: Gallus gallus (chicken)
Lineage: Eukaryota; Metazoa; Chordata; Aves; Galliformes; Phasianidae
Description: long non-coding RNA NONGGAT009105
Source: RNAcentral